RNAcentral lists this long non-coding RNA (524 nucleotides) under Aquilegia coerulea. Its description in RNAcentral is "long non-coding RNA (ACOE_LNC001470)". The record is from RNAcentral. Lineage: Eukaryota; Viridiplantae; Streptophyta; Magnoliopsida; Ranunculales; Ranunculaceae.
CCAAUUUAAGUUGCCGAGAAAAAAACCUGUACUGUCUUGUUUGGUUGCAUGUUGCAGUACUGGCAAUGCCUUUCCAAGUGCACGUAAUAGUUGCAAGCCAUAUGGCUCGAAAAUCCCAAAACUAAACAUAUCCUGAAUAAGUCUGCGUUUCCAUCACUUCAACCUGUAACAAACAGAAAUUAUUUGGCCUCUUCCUGUUCGUGGAAAUUUAUGUAAAAUUAUAAAUCAAAUAGGCUAAGUGGCGGACUAACGCAACUGAAUGCUAUUACAAAUUCGGUACAAGUAUGUACCUGAAGACGGGUAUUUUGGUCAUGUUGCAUGCUUCACCGAAAGAGCAAUUGCUGCUACAUUCUUCUUGGACGCAAGAAAUAAACUUGAGACCAUCUUUCUCCUGCCCCUUUCUCAAGCGUCAUAAUUGACCAAUAUAAGAACAUUACACAUUCAUUUGAAAACGCAUAAUAGCUCUUGUCAGGAUGGAAGAACAAAUCAUUUACUGCUCGACUGGCAACCCACUUGUAUUAUAU